Molecule: long non-coding RNA, 979 nt
Filed under: Homo sapiens (human)
Lineage: Eukaryota; Metazoa; Chordata; Mammalia; Primates; Hominidae
Description: HSALNT0150126
Source: RNAcentral
CUUGAGUGCAGUGGCGUGAUCUUGGCUUACUGCAACCUCCGCCUCCCAGUUUCAAGCGAUUCUCCUGCCUCAGCCUCUUGAGUAGCUGGGACUACAGGCACCAGCCAUCACGCCCAGCUAAUUUUUUGUAUUUUUAGUAGAGACACGGUUUCGCCAUGUUGGCCAGGUUCGUCUUGAGUUCCUGACCUCAGGUGAUCUGCCCGCCUCGGCCUCCCAAAGUGCUGGGAUUACAGGCAUGAGCCAUCGCACCGGCCUGCUCUUCUUUUAAAAAAGUUUUUCUAUCUUUUUUUUGUUUUUUUUGGUGGUUGCUUCGAACUUUAUUUGAGAAAAACAGAAGAUAAACGUAUCAAAAGAACACACAGACCGUUAGUUCCCUGAGUGAAGAGAUGCUAUCUUGGUAUCUCCAGCUUCCAACCGGGGGCUUGGCACAGAAUAGGGGCUUGGUAAAUGUUUUCCAAAUGAAUGGGAUGUCUGAUGGAAAGAAGACAAGGUGAAGGAAUUCCUGGGUAAUAUGGAGAUGAGAAUCUGUGAGAAGGAUACAUGUACUGAUGCCUGUCGCGGUGGACACACAGACGCACACAUUGCGGAACACCACCAUAAGAAUAUUGAGAAUAUCGAGAACACUUCAAUAUUCCAAACUUCAAUGGAAAUAUACGAACUGGAGUACACUCUUCUUCUGCCCUUGGACAUCAGGCUCUCUGGCCUUUGGACUCCAGGACUUAUACCAGCGCCCCUCUGGGUUCUCAGGCCUCUGUACUUGAACUGAGCCACACUGCCAGCAUGCCAGCUUCUCCAGCUUGCCAGGCCUGCUGUGGGACUUCUCAGCCUCCAUAAUCAUGUGUGCCAAUUCCCCUAAUAAAUCUCCUCUCAUCUGUCCACGUAUCUAUAUUUGCAUUCUGUUGGUUCUGUCUCUCUAGAAAAGUAUUACUAAUACACAGGUAGAGGAAGUCCCCAAGAAGAAUACUGAACUGACACCAAU